Halichondria panicea is the source of this 573-nucleotide long non-coding RNA. RefSeq lists it as uncharacterized. The record is from RefSeq and is a predicted model, not a curated record. Lineage: Eukaryota; Metazoa; Porifera; Demospongiae; Suberitida; Halichondriidae. The transcript has 2 exons.
UGGAGCACGAGUGUUACUGCAGUUAUACAUGGUGGCUGGAUGUCCCUCUAUAUCAGAGACUGUUAACUCUCUUUCCUGAUGUCAUGGUGUUGUGAUGAUGCAAAAGGUGUAAGCGGCUCAACUUUAAAUCAUAACCAUUGAUGUACAAACAGACAGUGGAAGCCUUACUCUCAACUCUUCACAAGUGCAGUGCAGUUCAUUUUUCCCCUCAAUCAUCACAACACUGACGUAUAUACUAGCAUUGGUGAAUGUGCUAUUUGGCUGGUUAUUAAUCUCCUUGUGGAGGAAAUGCAAGUGCCCUGUGAAGAAACCUUUUACAGUAGCUUUCUCAACUGAAGGCAGAGCCUCUAAAAUCGGCUCCCUCUCUGACUACACAAGACUGUGGUGAUCUGAAUGAUCCACGGAGGAGAACUCUAUCAUGAGGAAGAAACGUCAAUGAUCAUUAACUCUAUCUGCUGCCAUUGACUAUAAGUUGGACUUACUAUUCCUCACGAAUACUAAACUAUUAAUUUUUAUCUUUACACUAUAUUAAUUUUUAUCUUUACACUAUAAUAUUAUACUUGUAAUAAUUUA